RNAcentral lists this ribosomal RNA (328 nucleotides) under uncultured eukaryote. Its description in RNAcentral is "partial 18S ribosomal RNA". It matches the Rfam family "Eukaryotic small subunit ribosomal RNA", at positions 1470 to 1796 of the family's 1831-position model. The record is from RNAcentral.
CCCUUAGAUGUCCUGGGCCGCACGCGCGUUACACUGAUGCAUUCAACGAGCUUAUAACCUUGGCCGAGAGGCCUGGGCAAUCUUGUUAACGUGCAUCGUGAUAGGGAUAGAUUAUUGAAAUUAUUAAUCUUGAACGAGGAAUUCCUAGUAAACGCAGAUCAUCAAUCUGCAUUGAUUACGUCCCUGCCCUUUGUACACACCGCCCGUCGCACCUACCGAUUGGAUGGUCCGGUGAAGCCUCGGGAUUGUGGUUCUUGCCGCUUUAUUGUGGCGUGACCGCGAGAACUUGUCUAAACCUUAUCAUCUAGAGGAAGGAAAAGUCGUAACA